Small nuclear RNA from Molossus molossus (Pallas's mastiff bat), 137 nucleotides. RefSeq annotates it as U4 spliceosomal RNA. Lineage: Eukaryota; Metazoa; Chordata; Mammalia; Chiroptera; Molossidae. The transcript has a single exon. The record is from RefSeq and is a predicted model, not a curated record.
AGCUUUGCUUAGUGGUAGUAUUGUAGCCAAUGAUGUUUAUCCAAGGUGCUAUUAUUGCUAACUAAAAACUUUCCCAAUACCCCGCCCUAUAUUGAAAUAUAGUGGGCAGUGUCAAUUUUUGACAGUCUCUAUGGAGA